AGCAGCCGCGGUAAUUCCAGCUCCAAUAGCGUAUAUUAAAGUUGUUGCAGUUAAAAAGCUCGUAGUUGAAUUUCAGGCCUGGCUGGACGGUCCGCCCUUCGGGUGAGUACUGUCUGUGGUCGGGUCCUACCUUCUGGCGAAGCGUCAUGGCCUUAACCGGCCGUGGCGGGGAACCAGGACUUUUACUGUGAAGAAAUUAGAGUGUUCAAAGCAGGCAAUCGCUUGGAUACAUUAGCAUGGAAUAAUGGAAUAGGACAAUGGUUCUAUGUGUUGGUUUCUAGGACCGUUGUAAUGAUUAAUAGGGAUAGUUGGGGGCAUUAGUAUUCAAUUGUCAGAGGUGAAAUUCUUGGAUUUAUUGAAGACUAACUACUGCGAAAGCAUUUGCCAAGGAUGUUUUCAUUAAUCAAGGACGAAAGUUAGGGGAUCGAAGACGAUCAGAUACCGUCGUAGUCUUAACCAUAAACUAUGCCGACUAGGAAUCGGACGAAGUUAAUUUUUUAAUGACUCGUUCGGCACCUUACG
This 522-nucleotide ribosomal RNA is filed under the name uncultured Glomeromycotina. RNAcentral describes it as "SSU rRNA". It matches the Rfam family "Eukaryotic small subunit ribosomal RNA", at positions 569 to 1092 of the family's 1831-position model. The record is from RNAcentral. Lineage: Eukaryota; Fungi; Glomeromycota.